RNAcentral lists this ribosomal RNA (317 nucleotides) under uncultured bacterium. RNAcentral describes it as "bacterial SSU rRNA". It matches the Rfam family "Bacterial small subunit ribosomal RNA", at positions 29 to 339 of the family's 1533-position model. The record is from RNAcentral.
ACGAACGCUGGCGGCGUGCCUAAUACAUGCAAGUGGAGCGACGAACCAGGGCUUGCCCUGGGGCAGAGCCGCGAACGGGUGAGUAACACGUGGGUAACCUGCCCCGAUGACCGGGACAACCCGAGGAAACUCGGGCUAAUACCGGAUGUGCUCUCCUCACAUCAGUGGGAAGAGGAAAGGAAGCUUCGGCCUCCGCAUCGGGAUGGGCCCGCGGCCCAUUAGCUAGUUGGUGGGGUAAUGGCCUACCAAGGCUUCGAUGGGUAGCUGUUCUGAGAGGAAGAUCAGCCACACUGGGACUGAGACACGGCCCAGACUCC